RNAcentral lists this transfer RNA (72 nucleotides) under Bos taurus (domestic cattle). It matches the Rfam family "tRNA". Rfam says of the family: Transfer RNA (tRNA) molecules are approximately 80 nucleotides in length. Their secondary structure includes four short double-helical elements and three loops (D, anti-codon, and T loops). The record is from Rfam by way of RNAcentral. Lineage: Eukaryota; Metazoa; Chordata; Mammalia; Artiodactyla; Bovidae. RNAcentral also lists the same sequence under 1 other name.
UCCCUGGUAAUCUAGUGGUUAGAAUUCAGCACUGGUACUGCUGUAGCCUGGGUUCUGUCCCUGGUGGGGGAA